RNAcentral lists this unclassified non-coding RNA (347 nucleotides) under soil metagenome. Its description in RNAcentral is "partial contains 5.8S ribosomal RNA, internal transcribed spacer 2, and large subunit ribosomal RNA". The stretch from base 1 to 120 matches the Rfam family "5.8S ribosomal RNA", at positions 35 to 154 of the family's 154-position model. The record is from RNAcentral.
GAUGAAGAACGCAGCAAAAUGCGAUAAGUAAUGUGAAUUGCAGAAUUCAGCGAAUCAUCGAAUCUUUGAACGCACAUUGCGCCCGCUGGUAUUCCGGCGGGCAUGCCUGUUCGAGCGUCAUUUCAACCCUCAAACCCCCCGGGUUUGGUGUUGGGGAUCGGCUCUGCCUCACGGCGGUGCCGCCCCCGAAAUACAUUGGCGGUCUCGCUGCAGCCUCCAUUGCGUAGUAGCUAACACCUCGCAACUGGAACGCGGCGCGGCCAUGCCGUAAAACCCCAACUUCUGAAUGUUGACCUCGGAUCAGGUAGGAAUACCCGCUGAACUUAAGCAUAUCAAUAAGCGGAGGA